Long non-coding RNA from Pecten maximus, 5560 nucleotides. RefSeq lists it as uncharacterized. NCBI's taxonomy places the organism in Eukaryota, Metazoa, Mollusca, Bivalvia, Pectinida, Pectinidae. The transcript is spliced from 8 exons. The record is from RefSeq and is a predicted model, not a curated record.
AAAUUCUUCUCUCUAAGCAAGAGGCCCUGGAGACCCUGAUACAGGGCCUUUAAAUUAACAUGCUAAGGUGAAAGAUAUUGACAUCAAAUCUGCCAAAAUAUAUCAAAAUUCAGGUGAACAUAAGGGCCAUGGGUCUCUUGUUUAAAGUGGUUACCAUGGUUACCAUAGGUAUGAAAAGCAGAGAAAAGUGUAGUUAUCCUUCACAGCUGUAUUACAAUUGCAAAUUUUGUAUAGAUAUAUACUUUGGUAUAGGUAAUAUGUCCCAGCUAGAAAUACAGUCUCCCACUCAAAAGAAGUCCCCAAAUUAAAUUGUACAAAUGAACUUUUCUAGACUUCCAUAAUUUUCAUAUAUGCACUUCCAGUGAAACCCUGUGCUUCUACGUACUUCCUUUGUCAAACACAAGUGUGCUUCCUUGGAAGUCCCAGACUACAUAUGCGCUUCUUUAGUGAACCCAUGGAUACUUCAAAAGCACUUCUUUUAUAUAGAGAGCCCAUGGGGACUUCAAAGCGCUUCUUGUAGUGAACUUAUAACUUCUUGUAAAGUUAGGGACUUCAGGUGUACUUCAUACUUCAAUGACACUUUUAAAACUUAACUGUAUUUCAAAGACCUCAUUUUAUAUUCAAAAAGUUGUGCUGGUAUUGGCCAGACUUCAAAGACACUUCUAUAACUAAUUUGUGUUUCAAAGUGGGGCUUCGAAUAUACUUCAAAAACUUGUACGAAUUGUUGAGUAUUGAAUUAAGUUUUUUAAUCUAAAUCUUAGAAUGUUACAAUUUGAGAUUUAUUUUAUCAAGGUUUAAAUGACAUAAGCAGGUAAAUAAGUGUGAAGGAUUUUUACAGAUAAAAAGGGGCCACAGAGGUUAUGGUGUAUGGACACUUCACUAGCCCUCCACCUCUGGGUCACGAGUGCUAAACUCACAUGGGGCAGUUGCCUGGUACUGACUGUAGACCGGUGGUUUUUCUCCAGAUAUUUCUUUGGUAAACUGGAGGUGUACGAGGAGGAUGGGACGAGUAUCAUCAUCAGACAUUCCUGAAGUUUAGACAAAGGGCCGACCAGCCUUCCUAAAGCAACGGCUCAUAGCUGUACCAACCAACACGGAGGAAGAGAUCACGAAUCAUGAGGAAAUGGUACCAAACUUAUCUAGACAUGAACGAGAGUAAGAAAGUAAGAAUACGCAAAUGGAAGGAAAAAGAGCAGGUUAUCAGAAAGAAUUGAGGAAAGGGAAGGAGGAUUCUGAGAAGAAAGCUGCUGGUUAACCACACAGUCACACAAAGGUGAUAGCCACAGACUUGAAACAACAGCAUAAAAAGGUCAGCAUGCCUGUAAAACUGGAGGGGUACAAAUGUAAACACCUGGAACAUGGUCAUAGACUUCUACAAGUGAGAUAAUUAGGUCACAGAGUUCUACAGGUGAGAUAAUUAGGUCAUAGACUUCUACAGGUGAGAUAAUUAGGUCAUAGACUUCUACAGGUGAGAUAAUUAGGUCACAGACUUCUACAGGUGAGAUAAGUAGGUUGCAGACAUAUACAGGUGAGAUAAGUAGGUUGCAGACAUAUACAGGUGAGAUAAUUAGGUCACAGACUUCUACAGGUGAUAUAAAUAGGUCACAGACUUCUACAGGUGAGAUAAACAGGUUGCAGACUUCUACAGGUGAGAUAAGUAGGUCACAGAUUUCUACAGGUGAGAAAAUUACGUCACAGUCUUCUACAGGUGUUCAACUACUACAGAUUUAAAAAUUAGAUCAGUCGAGAUAAAUAAUUCAUCAUUUUUACCAGUGGAAUAUCAGAAUUUCUCAACUUGAUAAAAACUUAUAUUAAUCUUGCUUAUAUCAUCACUUUUAUCAUCAUUAAUGAUGGUGUAAGAAUCUUUAGUCAUUUCACACACAAUAUAGUUCAAACCAUAUCUAACUGCAACAGAAUUAAUUUCCUGAUUUUUGAAAUGGUGGGUAACCUAUGAUAUAAUGUGAAACCUGACUUUACCGACCACUGACUUUAACAACAUCCUAUAACAACUGACCAUUAUUACCAGAACGAGGAACUAUAUAAAGGGAUACUUUAAAAACAAAUUACAUACAUGUGAUGUUAAUUUGUUAUUUAAUUCCUGAUAAAUUUUCGAUUUGUUUUGACAUGAUAACUAAUCACUUGUAAUGUAUCUUAAAUUGUAAACACAAUUGGUGAUUAGCCAGAUACUAAGUUGUUCUACAAUGUUGGUUUCCCUAUUUUAAAUACCCAGCAUCAUAAGUGACAAUGAUUUCAAUAAUCUAUAUCAUGUUGUAAUUUUGUGGUUCCACUGUCACAGGUCACUAUACAUAAUUUUUUGGGUGAGUCUGUAGGCACAAUGCUGUACCGACUACUCCUCCUAAACUACUGAGGGAAUUUCAAUGAAAUAUUAUGGCAAUAACCCUUAUACAUUGUAGAUGUGCGUAAUCUAUAUCAUGUUGUAAUUUUGUGGUUACCAUGGUAACCAUGUCGCUAUACUUUGUUUUUUGGGUGAGGGGGAAUUUUGUCCAGUCAACUCCUCAUAAACCUGUGAACUGCUUCAAUUCAAACUAUACAGGAGUGAUGGGACCAUGUGUAAAUGUGCAUGUAUGAUAUUUCUCUACAGAAUUUUUGGUUUCUAUGGUUACCAGGUUUCAAUACCCAUAUUCUUGUGGAAAACUUUAAUGUCAAGACAACUCGGACAACUCCUGUAUAGCUAUCAAUCAAACUCAAACUUCAUACAGUGCUUCCUUACCAAAAGUGCUUGCUUGGGAUUGCUUUUCGGAUUCAAAGGUCAAAGGUCAAGGUCAGUGUUUUUAUUAAUAGAAAAUUGGAUCAGAGUCUUGAAGGAGACAGACAGGAAGGGAAGUCUUCUACAGAAACUUACAGACUGUGAGAGAAAUCUACUGGACCAGAGUCUUGAAGGGGACAGACAGAGGAAGGAAAGUCUUCUACAGAAACUUACAGACUGAGAGAAAUCUACUGGACCAGAGCCUUGAAGGGGACAAGACAACUCAACAGACAUCUAGUUUUGACAGUGAGAAACACCUCAACUGUACUGUAGAGAAUGCCGAGACAUUAAGAAUAGUGGAGAAGGAAAGGGGUAUGGAUUUGCUGUCCAAUGAUCUCAGGCUGUUACUAGUGGAAGCUACAUGAGUGGUGUCCAUGAAGUGAUGAGGCUGUGUUGAUGAAGCCUCACUCUGAUACAAGUCCUUGGCGGCUUUAUAGGUUUUGGUGUCCGGGUCAGUUACAAGCUUAUCCACCUCUAGGCAAUGUCGAACAGGAUUUCCUUACUCCACGUUUUUUGAUGGAGGAAUCAAGGGGUCUUUAAAGAUUUCCUUACCUGGGUGUCUGUUUGGUGGUUUCCCCGUCUUGUACACAGAAAUCUGUACACAGAGCUGUCAUUUACAGAAUUUCUCAGCAGAUACAUGUAGCUGUCCGAGGAUAAAGCUGUGUCCCAGACUAAUCGGUUGGCAGAUAUCGAUGAUAUAUACUUUGCUUCUGACGUAAGAAUUGAAAACUUAUUUUCCUGUAUGUGCCGAGUGUAGUCCUAACCUCACAGAGAUGUUAAUAGAGUAUGUGUCAUGGGGACAAGUUUGUGCAUUAAAAGGAAUUAGGGAGGGCAGUAAUGUAAAAUGUGUUACGACUAUUGGUCAAAGGAGAGGGAAUAUGAUAAAGGGGAUUUUGUGUAGAUGUUGUAUCCUCCUACUGUCAGUAAUGAAUUAAGACAGGGUUGGACAGGUCCUUAAAUAAAGUCUUACAGACUGAUAUCAAUUAUCAAAUCCAGAAGUCACCUUUUUCUAAGUCAAUCAUGGUUUAUACAGAUCAUCUGAAGCCUUACAUGGGUAGAGAAACAUCACAGGCUUGGGAGGAUAUAGAUUGAGAUGCUGCAAAUGAGAAUGGCAUCGAAUUGGCACGAAACUGAUACUUGGGUACAUUUGUGUACACUUCAGUUCAAGGGAGACAACUCCUCAGCAAAUAAAACCUCUAGUCAGAUACCUAAAAAAAUCUAGGAAGAAACUCAGAUAAUGUGAAUAUAUAUAUAAAAUAUACAGUAUAUUGCAGAGAAAUAUUACAAAGUUAUGCUGAUAUAUAUGUUGGUAAAGGUAGAUUAAACAUACUGCUGUCAUUAAUUGUCUUCACUUUGCAGUUGAGGUAUAAUUGUAAUUGUAGGCACUACUCAAAUACAAAUUUAAUUGAGACAUUUUUAGCUCACCGGUUACGAGUGACAUACAAUUUCAAAAUGACAUGCUUAUACAUACAUAAAAAAUGAAUGCAUAGUGUGAUUGCUGCCGCCGGUGAGCUUUCGCAAUCAUUGAUUGCACUUGUUAAUUAUAUUAAAGGUGAAUUUUUCAGUCUCCUCAUCGGAAUCAAUUGCAGCGUCAUUACAGUCAAAGGCAUAAAUUAACAGUAGAGGGUGCCAAGUCGCUGAGGAGCUCCACAAUUCUAAGUUUAUGGAUUAGAGAGAUAAGUACAUGCCUAUCCUGAAUGUUUCACCUGAAAUGGCUCUUCGUCAAGAAGAGGCUGCAGCUUGGCAUUAUAGGUAGAAUCGUGCCAGUCUGUCACUAGUGAUCUCAUCUCACAGAAUGUCACUGGCCAAGGACCAGGAGGUGAUACCUCUAAGGUCAAAGGAAGCCAUCAAAUUCAUUGGCUCUGUGUUAGAGCCGUGUCACCAGAAUGCUGUGCACUUAUAAGAGACAGACUUUAGUCAGUUCAAUUCAGAGAAGAGAAGAUUGGUAAUGGCGGUAUUUGAAAAACUGUGACUAAGGUUUCUUGGGGGAGGAUGGUGUGUCAAAUUAAGAUCACAGAAAUAUAUUCUGUUGUUUUUAAUUUCAUAUUUUUUAACAAAAGAUGUGGAUUUAUAAUGCUGGUACCAUGUAAUUCAAGAUGAAAUUAUCCUUAUGAUUCAACUAGUGAUAAUUUAGUGUGAUAACUGAUUCAUAAACAUAUUAAGUAAAUUAAUUCAGUUCAAUAAAAUUGUCAUGUAUUAAUAGUGUAUCAGUAGAAUUCAUGAAUCCUGACUUAGUAAUGGGUUCUUUCCACAAAAUAUUUUUAUGAAAUACUGUUAAGUAGCUGUAUAUUUUAGUAAGUUGAUUUAAAAAGUAUCAGGGAAAUUGUUGAAUUGAUUUUACAAUUGUGGUUUGAGAUGUUUGUACAGUGUAACCAUAUGAAUUGUAGAAUUCUUUGUGUAUUAUUAUUGUGAUGGAAUGCCACAUUGAUGUAGUUGUGUAAGGAGUGCAUUGAUUUAAGUGGCAUUUAUGGAUUUAUUUUCACAAUGGAAUAUUAAACGUUCAUAUAUCUGUGAUGUUGGUGUGUUGGGUAGAUUAUUUUUUAUGCUAAUGGUUUAUAGAGUGAGUGAGUAUGUUGUUGUAUAUAGAUGUCUACCUCAUGUAAAUGACAUUUUUCUUCAAAGUCCAAAUAUUUAUUUGGAACUGUGUGGGCAGAGCAUUGUAAAUGUGUGAGAUUUGAAUUAUUAAUUUGGUACUUUGUAGUUGCAAAUAAUUAGUUGUGUACAUGCAAUUCCAAUGUACUGUACUGGUAUUUUUUACACUUGUUCUGUUGAAUAAAUUAUAUUGAAUCUUUA